This is a long non-coding RNA of Leopardus geoffroyi (Geoffroy's cat), 700 nucleotides long. RefSeq lists it as uncharacterized. The record is from RefSeq and is a predicted model, not a curated record. The transcript has 2 exons. Lineage: Eukaryota; Metazoa; Chordata; Mammalia; Carnivora; Felidae.
AUUCUCUAUGCCAUUAGAAAGUUGACAACUUAAAAUCAUGAGCUAGCAGUUCCCCCAAAGCCAGCAUGGAGCUCCUGCCUCAAGGGGCCAUAAAACCUCAGGAAACUGCUGCGUCAGGACCCAGCCCUCAGUAUGCAGGGAGUGGGGUGGAGAGAUGGCCUCUCCAGGAGGCCGUUGGGAUCCGGAACACCACUGUCUGGAUCCACGAGAAGUCGGAGCCUGGACAGAGAGAAAGGAUGUUGCUGCCUGUUGGGUUUGGCCAUUAGCUGUUUGCAGAUUGAAAGCCCCAGUCUCCAGCCCAAGAAGCCAGUUUUCCACAAUCAUGUGGAUAGAGGUGAAAACAGUGGGUUGAAAAUCACACACUCUUAGCUGACGCCUGGGAUUUGGGCAUCUGUGGGAUUUCUUACCUGUGAUGCCUGGAACCCUCGCCCCUCCUCACGGACCCCCUCACCCCCACUGCCCUCCUCCCCUGGGCUGCCGCGCCUUUUUAGAAUCUGGCUAGAAAACCUGGUGCUAAAAUAUUGCUCAAUUUUAAUUAUACUUCCAAGCCCCUUGCUGUCAGCUGCCCUUCUGAAAUUGUUUUAAUUGAAGUUCCAUGAAUCCUGGGGAGUUCAGACGGAGUUCAUCUCCAAGCCCAUCCUGAUUUCAUUAAAGAUUUGAUCUUUCUUUUUUUUCACCAAUAAAACAUUUAUUAUCGUUA